RNAcentral lists this ribosomal RNA (435 nucleotides) under uncultured bacterium. RNAcentral describes it as "partial 16S ribosomal RNA". It matches the Rfam family "Bacterial small subunit ribosomal RNA", at positions 28 to 507 of the family's 1533-position model. The record is from RNAcentral.
GAUGAACGCUGGCGGUAUGCUUAACACAUGCAAGUCGAACGGACUCUUCGGAGUUAGUGGCGGACGGGUGAGUAACGCGUGAGAAUCUGGCUUUGGGUUCGGGACAACCACUGGAAACGGUGGCUAAUACCGGAUGUGCCGAGAGGUAAAAGAGAAAUUGCCCGAAGAUGAGCUCGCGUCUGAUUAGCUAGUUGGUGAGGUAAAGGCUCACCAAGGCAGCGAUCAGUAGCUGGUCUGAGAGGAUGACCAGCCACACUGGGACUGAGACACGGCCCAGACUCCUACGGGAGGCAGCAGUGGGGAAUUUUCCGCAAUGGGCGAAAGCCUGACGGAGCAAUACCGCGUGAGGGAAGAAGGCUCUUGGGUUGUAAACCUCUUUUCUUAGGGAAGAACAAAAUGACGGUACCUAAGGAAUCAGCAUCGGCUAACUCCGUG